Molecule: ribosomal RNA, 468 nt
Filed under: uncultured bacterium
Lineage: Bacteria
Description: partial 16S ribosomal RNA
Rfam family: Bacterial small subunit ribosomal RNA
Source: RNAcentral
GACGAGCGCUGGCGGCGUGCUUAACACAUGCAAGUCGAACGGAAAGGCCCUGCUUUUGUGGGGUGCUCGAGUGGCGAACGGGUGAGUAACACGUGAGUAACCUGCCCUUGACUUUGGGAUAACUUCAGGAAACUGGGGCUAAUACCGGAUAGGAGCUCCUGCUGCAUGGUGGGGGUUGGAAAGUUUCGGCGGUUGGGGAUGGACUCGCGGCUUAUCAGCUUGUUGGUGGGGUAGUGGCUUACCAAGGCUUUGACGGGUAGCCGGCCUGAGAGGGUGAACGGCCACAUUGGGAGUGAGAUACGGCACAGACUCCUACGGGAGGCAGCAGUGGGGAAUAUUGCACAAUGGGCGGAAGCCUGAUGCAGCAACGCCGCGUGCGGGAUGACGGCCUUCGGGUUGUAAACCGCUUUCGCCUGUGGCGAAGCGUGAGUGACGGUAAUGGGUAAAGAAGCACCGGCUAACUACGUG